AUAUCAAACGGAGUCCAAACGGAAUGAAACCUUCGGGAACGUGAUUUUCUCAACGAAUAAGACCCAGGAGACUUGGACCCUACGUCAAGGCACAAGAGAGGAGGCCACGAGGUAGGGGGAGCGCCUGCCUACCCCAGGCGCGCACUCCACCCUCGUGCGCCCCCUGUUGCUCCACCGACGUACUCCUUCCUCCUAUAUAUAUCCACGUACCCCCAAAUGAUCAAAUACGGAGCAAAAACCCUAAUUCCACUGCCGUAACUUUCUGUAUCCACGAGAUCCCAUCUUGGGACCUAUUCCUAAGCUUCGCCGGAGGGGGCAUCGAUCACGGAGGGCUUCUACAUCAACACCAUAGCCCUUCCUAUGAAGUGUGAGUAGUUUACCUCAGACCUACGGGUCCAUAGUUAGUAUCUAGAAGGCUUCUUCUCUCUUUUUGGAUCUCAAUACAAUGUUCUCCCACUCUCUUGUGGAGAACUAUUCGAUGUAAUCUUCUUUUUGCGGUGUGUUUGUUGAGACCGAUGAAUUGUGGGUUUAUGAUCAAGUCUAUCUAUGAAUAAUAUUUGAAUCUUCUCUGAAUUCUUUUAUGUAUGAUUGGUUAUCUUUGCAAGUCUCUUCGAAUUAUCAGUUUGGUUUGGCGUACUAGGAGAAGUGCUUAGCUUUGGGUUCAAUCUUGUGGUGUCCUUUCCCAUUGACAGUAGGGGCAGCAAGGCACAUAUUGUAUUGUUGCCAUCGAGGAUAACAAGACGGGGUUUUCUUCAUAUUGCAUGAGUCUAUCCCUCUACAUCAUGUCAUCUUGCUUAAGGCGUUACUCUGUUUUUAACUUAAUACUCGAGAUGCAUGCUGGAUAGCGGUCGAUGAGUGGAGUAAUAGUAGUAGAUGCAGGCAGGAGUCGGUCUACUUGUCUCGGACAUGAUGCCUAUAUACAUGAUCAUACCUAGAUAUUCUCAUAUCUAUGCUCAAUUCUGUCAAUUGCUCAAAUGUAAUUUGUUCACCCACCGUAGAAUACUUAUGCUCUCGAGAAAAGCCACUAGUGAAACCUAUGGCCCCCGGGUCUAUCUUUAUCAUAUUAAUCUCCUACUACUUGGUUAUUUCCUUUGCUAUUUACUUUGCCUUUAUUUUACUUUGCAUCUUUAUCACAAUAAUACCAAAAAUAUUAUCUUUAUCAUAUCUAUCAGAUCUCACUCUCGUAUGUGGCCUUAUAAGGAUUAACAACCCCUAUUUGCGUUGGUUGCGAGGAUUUAUUUGUUUUGUGCAGGUACGAGGGACUCGUGCGUAGCCUCCUACUGGAUUGAUACCUUGGCUCUCAAAAACUGAGGGAAAUACUUACGCUACUUUGCUGCAUCAUCCCUUCCUCUUCGGGGAAAACCAAUGCAGUGCUCAAGAGGUAGUAAGAAGGAUUUCUGGCGCCGUUGCCGGGGAGGUCUUCGCAAAAGUCAACAUACCAAGUACCCAUCACAUACCCUUAUCUCCCGCAUUACAUUAUUUGCCAUUUGCCUCUUGUUUUCCUCUCCCCCACUUCACCCUUGCCGUUUUAUUCGCCCUCUCUCUCUCUCUCUAUCCUCCCUCUCUAUUUGCCUCUUUUUGCCCAUUUGCUUUUUGUUUGCUUGUGUGUUAGUUUGUUUGCUUGUCGUUAUGGCUAGUCCUUUACCUUCUGUCUCUAUGUCUGAAAUUGGGGAAACUAUGGUCGAUAAUAUUUCUGAUGCUCCUACUAAAGAACCCACUAUCUCACAUACAAAAAGAUUUCGUGUUGGUAGUGGUAAUAUUAUUGGAAAAGGAGUUAUUCAAGAUUUCUUUACUUGUGCCGGUGCUUUACCCUCUAUGGGUAGUUCUAUCCUUCAUAGAACUAGUAGUCUUGCGGAUGCUACUGCCAUGCUUGCAGUUGAACUUGAAAGACAAUUCAUGCACAUGCAUCCUUCCAUACAAAGGAUUUUUCUGGAAUUUUCUAAUAUUGAGCAUUCUUCUGUUAAGCGUGCCGCUAUUAUUUUUUGGCUCAUGAGUUUAGAUUCAAAAUAAAAGAGGCCAAAGAAAUCUUUGCACAUUAUAGGGUGGACGCUUGCCGUCCUCCCAUAGAGGCUGUCAUCUUUGAUCAAGAAGAAAUAAUGUGUUUUCAAUCUCUAGACUAUAUUGCUUUCAAUAAAAAUCUUAGAAAAGGGUUCCUACCAAUGUUCUAGUUGAUAGAAUUUCUGAACUUAAUGAUGAUUUGGCUAUUCAAAAUAAUGAACUAGGAUAUUCUCUUGAAUAUAGGCUCACAAAGUUCUGUCAAUAGAAUGCUUAUAAUUAUGAAUUGGUUGUGCAAUAUGAAGGACCAAAGGAGGAACCUAUACCUCCCAAGGUUGAUCUUGGGGACUUUUGUCCCAUUAAAUUUAGCCCUUUUGAUUACUUUUGCUUGCCUCAAAUAAAACUUUCUGCUGAACAUUGAGAAUAUGAAAUUAGUUUUAAUAAUCUAUCUUACUAUUAUGGCAAUACCUAGAUCUAUUCUUGCUUGUUAUGCCUAGCUAGGGGUGUUAAACGAUAGCGCUUGUUGGGAGGCAACCCAAUUUUAUUUUUAUUCCUUGCUUUUUGCUCCUGUUUAGUAAUAAAUAAAUUAUCUAGCCUCUGUUUUGGUUGUGUUUUUUGUGUUUAAUUAGUGUUUGUGCCAAGUAGAACCGUUGGGAAGACUUGGGGAAAGUCUUGUUGAACUUGCUGUAAAAAACAGAAACUUUAACGCUCACGAGAACUGUUGCAAUUUUUAUUUGGAAGGUGCUAUUUAGUUAAUUAUUUCUUCAUAUGAUUAAUAGAUAAAUUCCUCACAUCCAGAAAUUUAUUUUAGAAUUUUUGGGGUUCCAGAUCUUGUGCUAGCUACAUAUUACUACAGACUGGCCUGUUUUUGACAGAUUCUGUUUUUCGUGUGUUGUUUGCUUAUUUUGAUGAAUCUAUGGCUAGUAAAAUAGUUUAUAAACCAUAGAGAAGUUGGAAUACAGUAGGUAUAACACCAAUAUAAAUAAAGAAUGAGUUCAUUACAGUACCUUGAAGUGGUAAUUUGUUUUCUUUCGCUAACGGAGCUCACGAGAUUUUCUACUUUAAGUUUUGUGUUGUGAAGUUUUCAAGUUUUGGGUAAAGAUUUGAUGGAUUAUGGAAAAAGGAGUGGCAAGAGCGUAAUCUUGGGGAUUCCAAUGGCACCCCCAAGAUAAUCUAAGGACACCUAAAAGCCAAAGCUUGGGGAUGCCAUGGAAGGCAUCCCCUCUUUCGUCUACUUCUAUCGCUAACUUUACUUGGAGCUAUAUUUUUAUUCGCCACAUGAUAUGUGUUUUGCUUGGAGCGUCUUGUAUGAUUUGAGUCUUUUCUUGUUAGUUUACCACAAUCAUCCUUGCUGUACACACCUUUUGAGAGAGCCAUACAUGAUUUGGAAUUUGUUAGAAUACUCUAUGUGCUUCGCUUAUAUCUUUUGAGUUAUAUAAUUUUGCUCUAGUACUUCACUUAUAUCUUUUAGAGCAUGGUGGUGGAUUUGUUUUAUAGAAACUAUUGAUCUCUCAUGCUUCACUUAGAUUAUUUUGAGAGUUUUAAAUAGCAUGGUAAUUUUCUUAAAAUCCUGAUAUGCUUGGUACACAAGAUUAAGAAUAGAACUUUCUUAUGAGUGUGUUGAAUACUAUGAGAAGUUCGAUGCUUGAUAAUUGUUUUGAGAUAUGAAGAUGGUGAUAUUAAAGUUGUGCUAGUUGAGUAGUUGUGAAUUUGAUAAAUACUUGUGUUGAAGCUUGUGAUUCCCGUAGCAUGCACGUAUGGUGAACCGUUAUGUGAUGAAGUCGGAGCAUGAUUUAUUUAUUGAUUGUCUUCCUUAUGAGUGGUGGUCGGGGACGUGCGAUGGUCUUUUCCUACCAAUCUAUCCCCCUAGGAGCAUGCAUGUAAUACUUUGUUUUGAUAACUUGUAGAUUUUUGCAAUAAGUAUAUGAGUUCUUUAUGACUAAUGUUGAGUCCAUGGAUUAUACGCACUCUCACCCUUCCACCUUUGCUAGCCUCUCUAAUACCGCGCACCUUUUCGCCGGUAUCAUACACCCACCAUAUACCUUCCUCAAAACAGCCACCAUACCUACCUAUUAUGGCGUUUCCAUAGCCAUUCCGAGAUACAUUGCCAUGCAACUUUCCACCGUUCCGUUUAUUAUGACACACUCCAUCAUUGUCAUAUUGCUUAGCAUAAUCAUGUAGUUGACAUUGUAUUUGUGGCAAAGCCACCGUUCAUAAUUCUUUCAUAUGUGUCACUCUUGAUUCAUUGCAUAUCCCGGUACACCGCUGGAGGCAUUCAUAUAGAGUCAUAUUUUGUUCGAAGUAUCGAGUUGUAAUUGUUGAGUUGUAAGAAAAAAAAGUGUGAUGAUCAUCAUUAUUAGAGCAUUGUCCUAGUGAGGAAAGGAUGAUGGAGACUAUGAUUCCCCCACAAGUCGGGAUGAGACGCCGGACAAAAAAUAAAGAAAAAAAGGGAAAAAGAAAAGAGGCCAUAAAAAAGAAAAAAGAGAAAAGGCCCAAAUAAAAAAAUGAGAGAAAAAGAGAGAAGGGACAAUGCUACUAACCUUUUACCACACUUGUGCUUCAAAGUAGCACCAUGAUCUUCAUAGUAGAGAGUCUCUCAUGUUAUCACUUUCAUAUAUUAGUGGGAAUUUUUCAUUAUAGAACUUGGCUUGUACUCCCUCCGUUCCUAAAUAUUUGUCUUUUUAGAGGUUUCAAAUGGUGACUACAUACGGAGCAAAAUGAGUGAAUCUACACUCUAAAAAUGUCUAUAUACAUCCGUAUGUGGUGACCAUUUAAAAUCUCUAGAAAGACAAAUAUUUAGGAACGGAGGGAGUAUAUUCCAAUGAUGGGCUUCCUGAAAAUGCCCUAGGUUUUCAUGAGCAAGCAAGUUGUAUGCACACCCACUUAGUUUCUUUUGUUGAGCUUUCAUAUACUUAUAGCUCUAGUGCACCCGUUGCAUGGCAAUCCCUACUCACUCACUUUGAUAUCUAUUGAUGGGCAUCUCCAUAGCCCGUUGAUACGCCUAGUUGAUGUGAGAUUAUCUUCUCGCUUUUUGUCUUCUCCACAACCACCAUUCUAUUCCACCUAUAGUGUUAUGUCCAUGGCUCACGCUCAUGUAUUGCGUGAAAAUUGAAAAAGUUUUGAGAAUGUCAAAAGUAUGAAACAACUGCUUGGCUUGUCAUCGGGGUGCAUGAUUUAAAUAUUUUGUGUACUAAAGAUGGAGCAUAGCCAGACUAUAUGAUUUUGUAGGGAUAACUUUCUUUAGCCAUGUUAUUUUGAGAAGACAUAAUUGCUUUGUUAGUAUGCUUGAAGUAUUAUUAUUUUUAUGUCAAUAUGAACUUUUGUCUUGAAUCUUUCGGAUCUGAAUAUUCAUACCAGAAUUAAGAAGAAUUACAUUAAAAUUAUGCCAAGUAGCACUCCGCAUCAAAAAUUCUGUUUUUAUCAUUUACCUACUCGAGGACGAGCAGGAAUUAAGCUUGGGGAUGCUUUAUACAUCUCCAAUGUAUCUUUAAUUUUUGAUUGCUCCCUGCUAUAUUAUCUACUGUUUUGGACAUUAUUGGGCUUUAUUAUCUACUUUUAUAUUAUUUUUGGGACUAGCCUAUUAACCGGAGGCCCAGCCCAGAAUUGUUGUUUUUUUGCUUGUUUUAGGGUUUCGAAGAAAAGGAAUAUAAAACGUUGUCCAAACGGAAUGAAACCUUCGGGAACGUGAUUUUCUCAAUGAAUAAGACCCAGGAGACUUGGACCCUAUGUCAAGGCACAAGAGAGGAGGCCACGAGGUAGGGGGCACGCCUGCCUACCCCAGGCGCGCCCUCCACCCUCGUGGGCCCCUUGUUGCUCCACCGACGUACUCCUUCCUCCUAUAUAUAUCCACGUACCCCCAAAUGAUCAGAUACGGAGCAAAAACCCUAAUUCCACCAUCG
RNAcentral lists this long non-coding RNA (5894 nucleotides) under Triticum aestivum (bread wheat). RNAcentral describes it as "long non-coding RNA (TAES_LNC010414)". The record is from RNAcentral. Lineage: Eukaryota; Viridiplantae; Streptophyta; Magnoliopsida; Poales; Poaceae.